RNAcentral lists this long non-coding RNA (1268 nucleotides) under Homo sapiens (human). RNAcentral describes it as "HSALNT0241073". The record is from RNAcentral. Lineage: Eukaryota; Metazoa; Chordata; Mammalia; Primates; Hominidae.
GCACUUUUAGGUUCACAGCAAAACUGAGUGGAUGGUACAGAGAUUUCUCAUUUAUGUCCUGUGCCCACACAUGUACAGCUGCCCCCGUUAUCAACAUCCCGCCACCAGAGUGGUGCAUUUGCUAUGAUUGAUGAGCCUACAUGACACAUCAUUAUCACCUGAAGUCCAUGGUUUACAUCACAGCACUAGUGUUGUACAUCCUAUGGCUUUGGACAAAUGUAUAAUGACAUACAUCUACCAUUAUAGUAUCAUACAGAUGGGCAGUAUUUUCAUUGUCCAAAAAAACUAUCUGCUCUGCCUAUUCAUCCCUCCCCGACUUUCCCCAACCCCUGGCAACCACUGAUCUUUUUACUGUACCUUUAUUUUUGCCUUUUCCAGGAUGUCAUAUAGAGUUGGAAUAUACCCAUACAUAGUCUUUUCAGAUUGGCUUCUUUCAGUUAGUAAUAUUCAUUUGGGGUUCCUCCAUGUCUUUUCAUGGCAUGAACAGCUUAUUUUUUUUUUUUAGCACUGAGUAAUACUCCAUCGUCUUGAUGUAUCACGGUUUAUCUAGUCACCUACUGUCAUCUACUGAAGGACAUCUUGGUUGCUUUCAAGCUCUGGCAAUUAUUAAUAGAGGUGGUAUAAACAUUUUGUACAGGUUUUUUGUUUUGUUUUGUCUUAAGACGGAGUCUUACUCUGUCUCCCAGGCCAAAUUUGGAAAGUAUAUUAUGCUCCUUUGACUCCUUGGGAUCAUAGAAUCUUUGAUCUGGAAGGACUCUCAAAGGUCAUCCGGUUUCAUUCUCUACUUGGUUCUGGAGGAGGCCCCUAUCUCUAAUUAAUGGAAACUGAGGAUUCUCCUUAUUGGCUGCAUUUUAAAACAGAUUUUGCUCCCACUUGUAGGUGGUAAAAAGGAAAUAUCUGGAUUAGGAGGGCAAACUUCUGCUUUUAGGCAGUACCCUGCAUUGAGGGAUGUCCAAAUCACCUUGUCUUUAUUUACACAUCCAUACACAAUGGAAUGCUAUGUAGCUGUUAAGAUGAAGGGGGUAGAACAAUAAAAACAAUAACCAUAAUAUAAGCUAAGCAAAACAAACAACAAAGCAGAGAUAUCUCUGUAUAUACACACGUAUGCACAUAUGUGUGCUUAUAUAUGCUUGACAUUUUCCUUUAAGGAUAUGAUGCUUAUGGGGAGACAGAUUGAAGGAGCAAGUGACUCACUUUUCCGUAUAAGCCUUUUGCAUUGUUUAAGUGUAUUACUAUGUACAUAUAGUAUUAUUUUUAAUGAAAAAUUU